GACAUCACUGGCAGGGAUAACUGCAAGAGGGAUAGGGCAUGUUUCUCCGCUCCACCUUCCUGUAAUCCAGGUGCAGAAGGUUCCUGCUAUUUUCUUUCCACAAGAGGAGUAAGCGGAAAUGCAGAUAAUUUUACUUUUGAGCUGAGUGGCGAGACAGAUGGUUACAUUGGAGCUGGCCUCUCUCGAGACAGCAGUGGUCAAGGUGCCACCGUCUAUUCUUGUGCCAAAUUCAAUGGUGCACUGAGGUUAAUUCGUUCCACACUGAACAAUCAAAUAUUGAUGCAGGAUAAUACAUUUAUCCCUGGAAGCUUCCAAGGCUCAGUCAUUGGUAGAAAGAUUCAAUGCAUUUUCAAUGCUGCAGGUCUCAGCAGCACCACCCGUUCUGCAACCACAGACACUUUUGUCUUCCUUGUAACAGGCAGCAUAUUAAAUGGUUCUCUGGAUUCUCCAGUCAGUAGACUGACCACAAAUGGGUCAGUGGACUUAAGCAACCCCAACAGCACAGACGUUUCAGUAAUAACACCCAGUACAAAUGCCACUGCAUCUAAUACCACAGCAACAUCAACCACCACUGCAGCAUCUACAAACUUGACCCAGACGGUAUUUCCCAACAUAACCGCCAACCUGACCCAGACAAACCCUCCCAACAUUACCGCCAACCUGACCCAGACACACCCUCCCAACAUAACCGCCAACCUGACCCAGACACACCCUCCCAACAUAACCGCCAACCUGUCCCAGACAAACCCUCCCAACAUAACCGCCAACCUGACCCAGACAAACCCUCCCAACAUAACCGCCAACCUGACCCAGACAAACCCUCCCAACAUAACCGCCAACCUGACCCAGACAAACCCUCCCAACAUAACCGCCAACCUGACCCAGACAAACCCUCCCAACAUAACCGUCAACCUGACCCAGACACACCCUCCCAACAUAACCGCCAACCUGACCCAGACACACCCUCCCAACAUAACCGCCAACCUGACCCAGACACACCCUCCCAACAUAACCGCCAACCUGACCCAGACAAACCCUCCCAACAUAACCGCCAACCUGACCCAGACAAACCCUCCCAACAUAACCGCCAACCAGACUCAAACACGCCCUUCCACCGUGAUUGCUAACCUGACUGCGACACCAUCAGGCUCUAAUACCUUGAACAACAGCAACGUCAAUAAUCUAUCACUAGAUAUCACUGGCAGGGAUAACUGCAGGAGGGAUAGAGCAUGUUUCUCUGCUCCACCUACUUGUAAUCCAGGUGCACAAGAUUCCUGUUAUUUCCUAUCUGCAAAAGGAGUAAGCGGAAGUGCAGAUAAUUUUACCUUUGAACUCAGUGGCGAGUCAGAUGGUUACAUUGGAGCUGGCCUCUCUCGAGACAACAGUGGUCAAGGAGCCACUGUCUAUUCUUGCGCCAACAUCAAUGGUGCACUGAAGUUCUUCCGUUCCACACUGAACAAUCAAAGACUGGCUCAGGAUAACACUUUCAUCCCUGGAAGUUUCCGUGGUUCGGUGAAUAGAGGAAAGAUUCAGUGCAUUUUCAAUGCUGCAGGUCUCGGCAGCAUCACUCGUGCGGCAACCACAGACACUUAUGUCUUCUUUUUAACAGGCAGUGUCUCAAAUGGCUCUCUGGAUUCUCCAGUCACUAGACUGACUACAAAUGGGUCAGUGGACUUAAGCAACCCUAACAGCACAGAUGUUUCAGUAAUAACACCCAGUACAAAUGCCACCACAACAGCCCCGAACAUCACCACAUCUAGUUCCUCUUUAGCAUUAAACACCACUACAGCCCCGAACACCACCGCAUCUAAUUCCACUGCAUCCUCAAAUACUACUGCAUCAUCAAAUGCCACUGCAUCUAAUGCCUCUGGAUUAUCUACAGCUAAUAAUGUUACAACAAAUGAUAAGGUCACCAAGGACAACUGUAAAAAGGACAGGGCAUGUUUCUCCACUCCAGCCAACUGUGAUCCAUCAAGCUCAAGUAGCUGCAUUUUUGCCUCCACAAGAGUGGUGAACGGAAACUUAGACAAUCUCACUUUUGAGCUCAGUGGGGAUUCAAAUGGUUACAUCGCAGUUGGCCUGUCUCGAGACAAGAAGGAGGGUGAUGAUGACACUGUCUACUCUUGUGCCAAUGACAAUGGUGUGGCGAAGUUCAUUCGUGCCACUCUGAACAACAACAUUCUGACUCCAGAUAAGACUUUUAACCCUGGAUCCUUCCGUGGCUCUGUGAACGGCACAAGGAUUCAGUGCAUUUUUGUAGCUGCAGGUCUCAGCAGCAACGCCCGUGCGGCAAACACAAAUGCUUUCCUCUAUUUCUUCACUGGCAACUUUACAAAUGGCACUUUAGGGUCUCCAGUCACACGAAUGUUUACAAAUUCAUUGGUUGAUCUAACCAACACUAGCAGCUCAGACGUUGCCAUAAUAACACCCACUACAAGCACAGAUAAUACUACCACUAUUACGACUACUACAGCAAAACCUGCUACUACAGCAGGGAGCAAUGCACUGCAUCAUGCUGCAUCUCAGGCUGCUCUGGUAAUUCUCUCAGGGAUCCUUGCAGUGCUCCUGUUGUAAGGAUUCUGCCAACACAUUUGCUUUCUGAAACUGGUCGAUGAGCACUGAACGCUUGAUGAACCCAACACCAAAGUAUAUGUAAUUCAGCAUAUUUAUAACUGUGCAAUAAUGCGACUCUGGGAACAAUGAAGAAAGAAGCAGAAAAUAUGGGGAAGAGGGCAUUACAUUAUUUAUUUAAUCUUAGUGUUUGUGUGUGAGAGAUUGUGUUUAUGAAUGUUUUUGCGAGCGUUAGUGUUUGUAUUCUGCUAAUGUACUGCUAUUUAAAAUCAGGCUCCUGCACAGAGAGGGCUGAUGAAAAUUAAAAUCAGUAUAUUAAUAUAAUUGUGCAAGUGUGAGCCAUCAUGUGGCUAAAAUGAUCUAAGAUAAUUGUUUUCAAAUGUCUUAAUUUAUUGUUACUGUUGCCUCAAACCAUUGAUUUCCUGUAAGUUAUAAAUAUAGUCUUUUUUUUUUAAUAUGCAUAAUAAAAUGUUCAAGUAAAAAAAAUGAAACUGGUAGAUCAGUGUUUGGACUAAAGGUUAAAGUGGCAAAGAACAAACUAAAUGCAAACAGCAUGCAUAGUCAGGAUAGUAAAUUAGUGAAACACUUCCCAUAUUGUUGAUCAAAGUCUGCACAUGCAAUCAAGCACUACGGUUUUUCACAAGACAUUUGUGACACUUGGUAGAAGUCGAAUUAGACGCAACAUGGACAGGUUAUGUAGCAUUCUCAUGCACAAAAACUAUGAACAAAACCACCCACCAAUCAAACGUGUUUAUUUUUAAAUAAUUAAUCAUCUUAGUACUGUGUUGGGUCACCAAAUUGUGGACAGAUAAAGUGCUUAAUAUUCAAAUCACUUCAAAGGCAAUGCAAUAGAUUAAUGAUAUUUUAAAUCUGUUUGAUUUUUGUCUUUGCAUUACAAAAUGAUGCAGAAGCAACAAUCUGUUUUCUACUAACCUUUACUGAUUAAAAAAAUGGUGUAGAAACAAUUCUUACUAAGAAAUUGGUAGUAAAUUUUACAUUUAAUUAUGAAGUAACAGUGAAUUAAACAAUACAUUUUGAAGUAGAAAGACUGUAAUAGUAUUUUGUUUUUUACUCUUUUAAAAUUGUUUAACUUUAUUUUUUUUUUACAGUGUUCUAUUUUGAUAAGGAGUGUUUUGUACACGUUAUAAAAUAACUCAAAAUACAGAUGCUCUACAGAAGAGAAUAGGACAAUCAUAGUUUAAUACCAACAAACAUCUUAGAUUUACAUAUGGGUAGAUAUGUACUGAAGGCUUAAAUAUUCAAUUGUAAAUAUCCUUUAUUAUUCUUAUUUUGAUUUUGUUUUUGUCAAAUAUCUGAAUAUUUUAUCUUCUGAACACUUACAUUAAAAAUACACAAAGUACUUAAGUACUUGUACUGUAAAAACCUUUGUGGGUUAAUAAAUCCAAGUGGAUCAGCUUAAAAGUUUAUCAUCCAAAAAUAGUUUUUGGUCUGAUUAUAAACACUCACUGGUUCUUUUUAAUCCAUCAGCAUGUCACAUUUCAUUCAUCUCUAUCACGUGUCAUUUUCUUAGCUUCUUUCCAAAAAAAAAACCAACAACAACAACAAAAAAAAACAAAUAAAUGAAAAUAUUGACAUCCACAUUAUUUACAUAGGCAAAAGAACUGUACGUCUAGUCAAACAAACUGCACAAACAAGUGCAUCAGGGAAAAGAAAAACACUGAGCAGACAUUUCUAGUAAUAAGCAAGUAAGAAUUGUGGCAGAUUAAUGUUGGUGGAACUUAAACAUGAAAAAUAUAAAACACAUGAGGAGCUGUUGCUUUCAAAGCUCAAGAUGCCAGUACAGAUGCAAUCAUAGUGUGCUUCCUCACAUGUUCGUGCUCUUCUGAAUCAGCAAUUUGAGAACAUUUACAUUUACGUUUACAUUUACAUUCAUGUUCAUGGAUUUUGAAGAAAACUCAAUGAAUAAGAAAAACAAGUGACAUUCUAAGAAGUGAACAGCAGUAGAUGUAGAGGCAAAUGGCGAUCGAGGGGCAAAUAUUUACUACAUUGCUAUAUGAACAACUAAUGUGAAUAUUAACAUUUUAAAGAUCAUCAGAAACAGAUCUUCUCCUCGUGUCAGACCAGAUGCAGGACAGUGUUUGUGUGCUUUCAGGUAGUUUUGACAGGCAGCUUUCAUGCAUAAAACAACAAAAUGCAAAUGUCUGUAGACCUUGAGAUGUCCAGAAGAUGGGAAAGAACAGACAAAUUGAAAAAUGGCAAGUGCAACAAAAACUGGAGAAACUGUCAUGUGGACCACAUUUUUUUGUUAUUCCGGAGCUUGACAGCUUCAGUUUUCAUGUCAUACAAGUUAGAACGACAUGGAAUAACAACAGUUUAAGUAAAAAUGUGGUGCCACUGAAUUUGAAUACAAAAAUGAAUACAAAUGUAGUUCAGGAAGAUUGUCUCUCAGUUUUCUCUCAGGAGAGGACAGCUGACAAACAGUUUGGUGGAUUUUGCUAUUGCUGUUUACAUGUAAUAUUCAAUGUAAGCAUGUCAACAUGAACUUCAUCCUUUGACUUGAUUCAGAUAAAAGUGUCCGCCACAAUUUCAAUAGCUUUGACAUUUUGAUAUAAUUUAUCACUAAAAGUUGAAGUUACAAGUUAUCAUUAUUUUCAGUGAAAAUGUGUUUACUUGUUUUGUUACUAAAAGAUGCAAAAUACUGAUUUGUGUGUGUGUGUGUGUGUGUGUGUGUGUGUGUGUGUGUGUGUGUGUGUGUGUGUGUGUGUGUGUGUGUGUGUGUAAUUUUUUUCCAGCACCAGUCAGAGUGAAAAGUGGGAGGGGAAACAGGAUCAUGUGACUCUGAUGUAAAAUUAAACUAAUGUGUUUCUCCCAGGGACAACAUUCAUUCAAACUUACUCAAAUGAAAGCAGAAAGAAUCACGCACCACCUGAAAUGAACAUGAGGGACUUCUACAAGAGUAUGUGGUUUUUACUGGGUAAGUUAAACACAAUCUGUUUAAUAUCUUAAUGACCUUCAGUCUGCUUUCAGCUUCAUCUUUCAGAGAGAGAAACACUUAACAGAAGACCUUCAGUUAUAAUUGAAUGUGUUAUUCUUUUUUAAAUCUUAUCUAAAUACACUUAAACAAUAUACUUUUACUUGAGAAGCUAAUUACACAAGACAUUAAUACAUGAUUUUAGAAAUCGUACUGAAUUUUACCCAAUUGGCAAAUAUAUUUAAAGUAUAAAUCUAACAGAAUACAGGUUUAUAAUCAUAAGAAAAAUCCCUUUUAGUUGCAAAAUACUAAGAAUCAUUCUGUGUUUCUCAUUUUAAGGCUUUUUCUCAGUUCAAACGAAGGCAGAAAAAGAAG
Molecule: long non-coding RNA, 5878 nt
Organism: Cyprinus carpio carpio
Lineage: Eukaryota; Metazoa; Chordata; Actinopteri; Cypriniformes; Cyprinidae
Source: Ensembl